ACCUUAAUUCUCAGCGUCUGCUGAGUGUUCACACAGUUUGCUUGAUAGAUAGCAGAGCGCUUUUGAUAGAGGCGUGGUGGUUGGUUUGCCUAUAGCCAGCCACACACCGAGUUCAACGACAUCAAGCCCAGUUCAACAUCCGUUGUGCUUGCCGCUCGGGUUCGCAGAGCUCACCACUCGCCUUUACCAAAAAAUCGUUGAAGCUUGCUUCAACAACAGAUUUUUUGGUCCCCUUCGUCUAGAGGCCUAGGACACCGCCCUUUCACGGCGGUAACAGGGGUUCGAAUCCCCUAGGGGACGCCAUUCCUUGAGAAUGCAAAGCUAAAAAGCGUUUAGCUUUGAUUUCUUGAUGAAAUCUGCUCUUUAACAAUUCGGAAAAAGCUGAUGAAUAAAAAGUAGUUCUUGAUACUGCAAGUGUCUUGGAACUUCUUGGCGAAAUUUGUUGUAAGCAUCAGUCACAUGAUGCGUACCGCCAUCAUUAAGUGUACCGGUCUUCGGACUGACACACUUCUUGGGGUCGUAUGG
Molecule: transfer RNA, 525 nt
Filed under: Oceanimonas sp. Be07
Lineage: Bacteria; Pseudomonadati; Pseudomonadota; Gammaproteobacteria; Aeromonadales; Aeromonadaceae
Description: partial 16S-23S intergenic spacer
Rfam family: tRNA (bases 228-300)
Source: RNAcentral